ACGGGAGGCAGCAGUGGGGAAUAUUGCACAAUGGGCGCAAGCCUGAUGCAGCGAUGCCGCGUGAGGGAGGAAGGUUUUCGGAUUGUAAACCUCUGUCAUCGGGGACGAUAAUGACUGUACCCGAGAAGGAAGCUCCGGCUAAAUACGUGCAAGAAGCAGCGGUAAUACGUAGGGAGCGAGCGUUAUCCGGAAUUACUGGGUGUAAAGGGAGUGUAGGCGGGACUGUAAGUCAGAUGUGAAAUAUACCGGCUCAACUGGUAGACUGCAUUUGAAACUGCGGUUCUUGAGUGAAGUAGAGGUAAGCGGAAUUCCUAGCGUAGCGGUGAAAUGCGUAGAUAUUAGGAAGAACAUCAGUGGCGAAGGCAGCUUACUGGGCUUUAACUGACGCUGAGGCUCGAAAGCGUGGGGAGCAAACAGGAUUAGAUACCCUGGUA
This 434-nucleotide ribosomal RNA is filed under the name uncultured Ruminococcus sp. RNAcentral's name for it is "partial 16S ribosomal RNA". It matches the Rfam family "Bacterial small subunit ribosomal RNA", at positions 341 to 792 of the family's 1533-position model. Lineage: Bacteria; Bacillati; Bacillota; Clostridia; Eubacteriales; Oscillospiraceae. The record is from RNAcentral.